RNAcentral lists this ribosomal RNA (252 nucleotides) under uncultured bacterium. RNAcentral describes it as "partial 16S ribosomal RNA". It matches the Rfam family "Bacterial small subunit ribosomal RNA", at positions 524 to 776 of the family's 1533-position model. The record is from RNAcentral.
UACGUAGGGGGCUAGCGUUAUCCGGAAUUACUGGGCGUAAAGGGUGCGUAGGUGGUUUCUUAAGUCAGAGGUGAAAGGCUACGGCUCAACCGUAGUAAGCCUUUGAAACUGGGAAACUUGAGUGCAGGAGAGGAGAGUGGAAUUCCUAGUGUAGCGGUGAAAUGCGUAGAUAUUAGGAGGAACACCAGUUGCGAAGGCGGCUCUCUGGACUGUAGCUGACACUGAGGCACGAAAGCGUGGGGAGCAAACAGG